Long non-coding RNA from Manis javanica (Malayan pangolin), 961 nucleotides. RefSeq lists it as uncharacterized. The record is from RefSeq and is a predicted model, not a curated record. Lineage: Eukaryota; Metazoa; Chordata; Mammalia; Pholidota; Manidae.
CUGCUGUGCGGGUUUGCCCCAGAGUGGGCCCAGGACGGAGAAACGGCGGGAAAAUCCAGCCAGCAGAAUGGGAGGCCUGGGACAGGUGCCCAGGACCUCCUGCACAUUGCUCAGCUUAGAAUGGAAGCUGGUCCAAGCCCUGGCUCUCCCCUGACCAAGCAGGGCCGUGCAGCUCAGCUCAGCCUCAGCCUCCAAUGGCCUCAGCAGCCUCCUCGGUGACAUGGCAUGUGAGGCUGCCAUCCUCAUGGGUUUUGUGAGGACAGAAUGUGACUGUGGAGGCAGAGUCCCUCUACGCGCCAGGAACGCGGCAAGAGGCACCAAAGCAGCUACUAAUAUUUUAUCGGAGAUCAAAGGCCAGUGGUUCCAACUGGGGUGUCAGCAGCCUCCUGCUUCCGGUCCCACCCCAGGACUGCUGGGGGACACAGUUUGGAAACCCUUGACCUAGAUUCUGGGCUGGCAGUGGGACCAGAAGUAGCAUUAGCUGACAAUUACAGGAGCCGGAACAGCAUGGAGUUUGUCAGCAUGGAAUUAGGUCACAGAAUUCUUAAAACAGAGGAGACACAGAAGCCAAAACUCUCAACAUCUGAAGGCACAGUGCUCUCUGGGGCCGGCGGGGGCGUGGGCCCACCAACAGAUGGGAUUCCAGCCUGAGAUGGGCUGGGCACCGGCACGCACCCGCUGGCUCUGCCCCGGGCGUCCUGGGGCAGCCAGGAAGAGGGCCCUCCAGCUCCCCCACCACCUCCAAAGCCCCCUCUUUCCUGGGAUGGCCUGCUUCCCGCCUUCACUUUGCUCAGAACCUGGACCAAGCAUGGCUCCGGAGGAGAAGAGAUGCAUGCCUGCCACCUGGGGAUCUUCAGGGAAGGCACCUACAGGCGCAGGCCAUGGGUGGAGGUGCUAGGCCAGCCCGGCCUCGGGACGGCUAAGCAGGGCAGCGAGGUGGACCAGCGGAGCUGAGCGGGGC